UACAGAGGUCUCGAGCGUUAGGCGGAAUCACUGGGCUUAAAGCGUGUGUAGGCGGGUCGGUAAGUACCUUGUGAAAUCCCACGGCUCAACCGUGGAACUGCUGGGUAUACUGCCGAUCUUGUGCAACCUAGGGGCGAGCGGAACAGAUGGUGGAGCGGUGAAAUGCGCAGAUAUCAGGAGGAACACCGGCGGCGAAGGCGGCACUCUGGGCCGGUACUGACGCUGAGGAGCGAAAGCGUGGGUAGCAAACAGG
This 253-nucleotide ribosomal RNA is filed under the name uncultured bacterium. RNAcentral describes it as "partial 16S ribosomal RNA". It matches the Rfam family "Bacterial small subunit ribosomal RNA", at positions 524 to 776 of the family's 1533-position model. The record is from RNAcentral.